UGCUGUCCAGGAUAUUGUCCAGGUUUCUGACCAGGUUGUUGUCCAGGGUAUUGUCCAGGGUGCUGGCCAGGCUGCUGACCCGGUUGCUGUCCAGGAUAUUGUCCAGGUUGCUGACCCGGUUGCUGUCCAGGAUAUUGCCCAGGUUGCUGGCCGGUUUGCUUUACAGGUUGCUGUCCAGCCUGUUGACCAGGUUGUUGUCCCGAUGGUUUGUUCCAAGGAGAAUCCGCCGAUGGACUUCCUCCACUCAACGGUCCACUUUUAACAGGCCCCGAGGUCCAGGAAUCCGCACCCUCGCCCGGUGUACCCAGUUUCUGCACUCCUCCAGACCCGCCAGGUCUCUUCUUAUGACCAUGGUGAUGCUCCGGCCUGUACUGACCGUCGUCCCCGUCGUCGCAGUCAUCGUCGUUCUCCUCUUCCGGCUCCUCCCAGUCCUCUUCUUUCUCCCAGUCUUCCUCGUCUUCCCAUUGCUUCGGGCACUUGGGACAUCCGUUCCGGUCGACCUUGCCUCCGGCACCCGGAUGACUAGACGGAUGGCCAUGAUCGCUGCCUUCUUGGUUCUGGUUCGCGUAUCCGGCGCCGUCGUAGCUGCGGAUCCCCUUGUGGCCGUCAUGGUCACUUCCGGGAACGCCGCCGGCGAACGCAUCCGAACCGCUCAGCGCGAACGCGCCUGCAUUCGCGGAAGCGGAGGCGGAUGCGGACGCGCCGCCUGCAGCAAUGCGACAAUACGUUUCCACGUCUCGGCGGUCUUCGAAACUCCAAGUCCGAGUAGACACGAGUUUUUCUCGCAUUGUUACGGAAACCGGUCGACGCGAACCAGUUACGCAUGGAUCGUCGAUGAAAAUUGAUAGAUAAAAAAAAGAAUAGACGCAACUAUGAGCAAGCGGAAAAUCCUCGAAGAUCCUGGCGGACGUAACACGUGUUUUCGUACAAAGUAACGACCACUCGUAAUUGUCUGAUCGCGAGGCGGCAGGCUGUUAUUACGAGGCAGCUCGCGAGCUUGGCACACAGGACUUCGGCGACUAAUUUCCGUCAUCGGCGAAAAUUAAAGGAAAUACGUACUGUACGCGAGGCUGCCGCCGCCAGGGUUGGUCCUGUAGGCUCCUGAAAGCAGUGAUCGAAACGUGUCAGCGGUGGAUCCGAUGCGUCAACGCGUAUAAAUAGCGAGGAGGAAUGCGAGGACGAGCAGGGAAUCGCGAGUAGACUGAAGAAUACGCGUGCAAGAAGGAGCGCGAUACCGCGUGUGACACGGCGAAAGAGAAGCUGCGACAACAGUUACCUGAUCCGACGACGAGCGCGCCGAUAAAGAGUAGGACGGCCGGCGGUCCGAUCAUCUCCGGAUGAAUCGUCGCGGAUGGUUGAAUCGUUCCUUUGUGGUCCGCGAGUCACGGACCAUUGCGAAGCGAGUCCCUGUCGAAUACUUGUAUAUAUAAGGAUACCCCCAGCGAGGUGAAAGGAUACACGCAUCAUCAUCAUCAUCAUCCCCGACGAAGAGGCCCGGGGCGACGUGGGUGGCGACACGCGAUCGGCCAGCUCUUUCUAUCGCGGAACAGUCGCGGGACCUGUUCCAGGCGCCGGCUUUGUCUCUCAGGACUACGUCAUCCGGGUUUAGGAGUUUCCCGGGACUAAGAAUACAGCGCGCAGGAUCCUCAUGCAAAUCAGAGCGUGUAACAAGAAUAUUCUCGCUUCCGUCGAAUUUACGACGCACCGUCGCGUCGCGAUGAUUUGCCGCGAGAUUCUCAACCGCUGCAUUCUUCCCCGAUGACUUCAAAUUUAUUCCACCGAUCAUCGUUCGCCUAAAAUCCCUGGCGACGCGUGAAUCCUUUAGGAUCCGUAGGCAAAAGAUAGGUGGAUAUCUAGGAGAAGAUUAACGAAUAAUAAAUAACUGACAGAGAUAAUCAAGGUCGCGAAAAAAAUUCAGCUAAUGCAAUUUUGUUCUUGUCGUUACUGUCACAAAAUGUCUCGGGUAAUCGUGAUUUUAUUGUACUCCACGUGGGGUUGCAUGCUAACUAAUUAUAUUAUCCUGUGUCAAGGUUAUCUUAUCCUACGUAUUCGUCACGAAUUCGGUGUAAGUUUUGCGAAAGGAUGUUAUUGCACUUACUUGACGAGUGAGAGCACAUUAUGUUAGAUAGAGAUUAUCUAGAUUAUCGCUGUGGGUUUUUGUUGAAAAACCUUUAUUCGUUCCUAUAAUACUUACGACGAAAGUGAUACACGCCUACAACAUCAAUUUUAAUGAAUCUAAUGAAUCUAAUGAUAGAUCUCAGAAAAAUAUU
Non-coding RNA from Megalopta genalis, 2270 nucleotides. Lineage: Eukaryota; Metazoa; Arthropoda; Insecta; Hymenoptera; Halictidae. The record is from RefSeq and is a predicted model, not a curated record.